CGACCGGUUUGGAAUAGACGUCUUCUUUUGGGUAUCACAUCUUCCUGCAUGUGCUUCUUCUUCUUCUUCUUCUUGCAUUCCUCGACACUUGCAGCCUGUAGAUACCUCUUUGGGUGUUCACCAAACUCUCAUUUAUGGGUUGCCAACACCGAGGUUUACUGCCAUUCCUGUGCCUACCAAGCUUCAAAUGACACGAGCAAGGAGGUAGCUCAGUUCCUUGCCUAAGUUUGCUGGAUUAAUGCUGCUAACUUUAUUCAUCCUAAGCAAAAAAAGCUUCAGUUUUUCUCUCAAAAGUUAUGCAACAGCCACUCAUCCACACGUUGCAUUCAGGGCGACCAAAUCGUGUAUGUAUGGCAGUCAACCCUUCUUUGAGACAUUUUCUCAAGCAGUUCUCCAGCAUGACGCAAGUCGGCCAUUCCGUCUCUUUCGCCCGUGCCAUUCCUCAAAUUGGCCGGUCUAAUCCCCGGUUCACCUGGUCGACCGGUCCGGUUUCCUCAACGUUAACAGCAGUUGCCGGCCAAUAUCCGAUCUUGGCCGUUCCGGCAAGACCGAACAGCCGACCAGUUAACGUAGUCGUCCUCCUUCCCUCCGUCGCGCCGUCUUCCUUUCCAUUCCAUGGUUAGCUUCCGACGCCACGCUGUGAAACUUCUCCUCUCUUCUCGUCUACUACCGUUUCUCGGGCCGCAAAGGACGAUCCUGCGCCACCAAAGCGCUACAACUGCUGCCAUGAUCCCGACGAGCAGCGCUCGCUUCCUGUUCAACGCAACAAUCAGGUCGACUUGGUCUCAUUAACGUCAAAGUUCCAGAUAACAGAGGAUCCCAUCAGUUCGUACCAGUUUGCCUGAUGGCUUGUCCUGUUUUAAUGACUCGGGGGAUAGUUUGGGUGUUGGCAGCAGCAAAAGUUGCAGAAGCUCUGGCAGCAAUGGAUGGGAAGGAGACGGUCAUCACUGGUCCUCAAGCAUGCAAGAAUCAAGAACCACACACCUGAUGAUUCGCGCUGUACGGGCUAUCUCUGCUUCGGAUCAAGCUAAAUCGCAGUGUUUCCAACAAAGCAAUCAGGGUUCUGAAAGCAACAUGUAUGUUACCAGCUUCUUCAGCCAAUCUAAUCAUUUUGGCUUCCUCUCCAUUUACUGAGUCGGACACGAUUUCUUAUCAGGAAAUCAGAGAUCUAUGAUUGCCUUAUUAACAGCAUGAGAAUUUAC
RNAcentral lists this long non-coding RNA (1202 nucleotides) under Musa acuminata (dwarf banana). Its description in RNAcentral is "long non-coding RNA (MACU_LNC002796)". Lineage: Eukaryota; Viridiplantae; Streptophyta; Magnoliopsida; Zingiberales; Musaceae. The record is from RNAcentral.